GGACUCUCAGGGGGGGGGUAUCAAUUGUGAGAUUAUAUAGCAUUAGCAGAUUUUGCUUAUAUGAAGUUGGAAAUAUAGCAAUAUGAUUUUAUUGCUGAUGGGUAAUGGCAGCAGUCUGAUAUGGGGACUUCAACCUAGGAUGGGUAGUUUAUAAUGCCUGAAAUGUUGGCAUUCAGAGUGAUGAUUUGAAAUGAUAGUGCUAAAGGCACAGUGGUGAUUUAGCUCAGAUGGGUUACUGAGUGUAGAGUGGUUCAACUAAAAUGGUUUGCCUACUACAAUUAGGUCGGCAUCAGGAAUUAGUUUGCACCUCUCAAAUUACCGAAUAUAUAGUUGCUCCUAAAGUUUGUUGUGUGCUCAUACUGUAGUAUGUACCCUGAAAGGUGGAUAUGGAGAUGAAUGAUUCAGGCUUAUGGUAUCAUACUGGCGGAGUAAUAUCAUGGUGUAGGUUUUGGAUAUCUAAUAUUUGAAAUUCAAGCUUCUAAGAAGUUAGAGCCAUGUUUUAAACUGAUUGUGGGAAAGAUUUGCAAAUUUUAUAACUUGUUAAUUGUUUGAAUGUUAUUAUGUGGUGGUGA
Molecule: unclassified non-coding RNA, 572 nt
Filed under: Hevea brasiliensis (rubber tree)
Lineage: Eukaryota; Viridiplantae; Streptophyta; Magnoliopsida; Malpighiales; Euphorbiaceae
Source: RNAcentral